This 111-nucleotide transfer RNA is filed under the name Culex quinquefasciatus (southern house mosquito). It matches the Rfam family "tRNA". Rfam says of the family: Transfer RNA (tRNA) molecules are approximately 80 nucleotides in length. Their secondary structure includes four short double-helical elements and three loops (D, anti-codon, and T loops). The record is from Rfam by way of RNAcentral. Lineage: Eukaryota; Metazoa; Arthropoda; Insecta; Diptera; Culicidae.
CCUUCGAUAGCUCAGUUGGUAGAGCGGUGGACUGUAGUACAAGAACCUGAGGGAAGUUCUCUCAGCAUAUCAGUAAUCCAUAGGUCGCUGGUUCAAAUCCGGCUCGAAGGA